This 1535-nucleotide long non-coding RNA is filed under the name Centruroides sculpturatus (bark scorpion). RNAcentral describes it as "uncharacterized LOC111629624, transcript variant X1". The record is from RNAcentral. Lineage: Eukaryota; Metazoa; Arthropoda; Arachnida; Scorpiones; Buthidae.
CUUCUACAUUCUGGAAUUAGCCCCACAUAAAAUAUCUGUACUCUACAUUCCAAUAUUUCCAUAAAAUUUGGGAUCCUCUUAUUUGUAAUUAUCGCUAUUCUAUACGUACCAGAUUUUAUCAGGGGGUAGUAUUAAACGUAUGCGCUAUCACGUUUAGAACUUUUCCAUAAUUACCAAAAACUCUUCGUAAUAGAGCCUCAUCUACCUCACGAGGAACAUAUUUUAACGUCAAGGUAAGUACCUCCUUUUCCCUACUUUGGAUUUCAUAUUCUUUUCCAUCAUACUCAAUUACUUUUCCCAUUAGACUUUCUUUUGCUUUUACAGAACUUAGCCCUAUCUCUAUAAUUCCAUUUGGGCGAAAACACACCUGCUCUACUGCUCCUUCUUUUAGCUUUGCUGUUAUUUCCUUCACUAAAUCUGCCACUAUCACUUUUUCCUUCAUCACAAUCCUGACCAAUUUAUCUUUUCAGCUGAAGUCUCCUCAGCAUUCAUCCCCUCUGUCUCUGGCAAGGUCGGAUUCAACGCCGAACUUCCUCGGAGGGUGACUCCUAACACACUCUUCGGCUUUUGAACAUCUCCAAUUGUUUCUAAGUCAAUAGGAACUUCUUGACUUGUCCCCGGACCAGGAUCAUAGUCAAACACCGGAUCCAUUCAAUCAGAACUUCACCAGGCAAGAGGCCAACUGCCAGCACCAACUGGUAUACAAGUGUAAACAAAAACAUCAAAGUAAAUAUAAAACGACUUUGGAAACCCAGGACCAUGCAGACUUAGCAAUAUUACAUUCAAAAAAGAUAUGAAUAAUGGACUCAACACCACCACAUCUAGCGCAACGUUUAUCCUUCACUCUAUGAUACAGACGUUGUAUUCCUUUAAGUACCUCUUCACUCAACGAUUCAUCAGAUUGCAGAUCUCUGAAUAGCUUCUUCGUUUCCUGUUCCAUCCUCCGUCGAUAAACCUUGUGUCACCUCCAUUGACUCGUCUGGAUCAGUUGCUGCCGCAUCGAGACGUCGACGGGAAUGUUUGUUGGCCGACCCAUCGUGGAUGGAAAGGGAUCUACCCUUACCACCUAGGGCCUCCACAGAAGCAUCACAGCUCGUUGAAAGGGACAGCUCCCCCAUCUAACUGCCUCAGCACUCAGCCAAAGUGUUAGAAAAGUCAGUAGUGAAGUCAGUAAAACCAAAAAACAAACUCACCAAAAAAGGCUGUAAACUGUUAAAACGUCCAAAAAGGGUAACAAAAUCCAGGUAUAAAACUUUUAAACUCCACAAAAAAUUUCAAAGUCCAAACUCAGCAAAAGUCGGCAAAAACAGCAAAAAUCUCAAAACUAUGAAAAAAGUUUUGUUAACAAGAACGAGUCCUUGAUCUGAGCCAUAAGGCUGAGAAGCGAUAAAAAAACACAUCAAAGGUGCCGACGGGCCAAGUGUGGAGACAUACAAUUGUGUCCAGGUUACGUCAUUCGGCAAACAUCCAAUAAUACACAUGAAAGAACGUCAGGAAACGAUAAGUGACAAUGCAAAAGGCUACAGGAAUUGUCA